CAAUAGCGUAUAUUAAAGUUGUUGCAGUUAAAAAGCUCGUAGUUGGAUUUCUGGUGGGAGCGAUCGGUCUGGCGCUUAGCGCGAGUACUUGCAUCGUCUCCGGCCAUCCUUGGGGAGAGUCUGUCUGGCAUUAGGUUGUCGGGCAGAGGAUCCUCAUCGUUUACUGUGAAAAAAUUAGAGUGUUCAAAGCAGGCUUAUGCCGUUGAAUAUAUUAGCAUGGAAUAAUAAGAUAGGACUUUGGUACUAUUUUGUUGGUUUGCGCACCAAAGUAAUGAUUAAUAGGGACAGUUGGGGGUACUCGUAUUCCGUUGUCAGAGGUGAAAUUCUUGGAUUUACGGAAGACGAACUACUGCGAAAGCAUUUACCAAGGAUGUUUUCAUUAA
Molecule: ribosomal RNA, 383 nt
Filed under: uncultured eukaryote
Lineage: Eukaryota
Description: partial 18S ribosomal RNA
Rfam family: Eukaryotic small subunit ribosomal RNA
Source: RNAcentral